This 148-nucleotide non-coding RNA is filed under the name Pan paniscus (pygmy chimpanzee). RNAcentral also lists the same sequence under 1 other name. Lineage: Eukaryota; Metazoa; Chordata; Mammalia; Primates; Hominidae. The record is from Rfam by way of RNAcentral.
GCUGGGCGUGGUGGCACACGCCUGUAAUCCCAGCCACUUGGGAGGCUGAGGCAGGGGAAUUGCUUGAGCCCGGGAGGCAGAAGUUGCAGUGAGCUGAGCUCUUGCCACUGCACUCCAGCCUGGCCGACAGAGCGAGACUCUGUCUCAA